CCUACGGGAUGCUGCAGUGAGGAAUAUUGGUCAAUGGACGAGAGUCUGAACCAGCCAAGUAGCGUGAAGGAUGACUGCCCUAUGGGUUGUAAACUUCUUUUAUAUGGGAAUAAAACGUUCCACGUGUGGGAUUUUGUAUGUACCAUAUGAAUAAGGAUCGGCUAACUCCGUGCCAGCAGCCGCGGUAAUACGGAGGAUCCGAGCGUUAUCCGGAUUUAUUGGGUUUAAAGGGAGCGUAGGUGGAUUGUUAAGUCAGUUGUGAAAGUUUGCGGCUCAACCGUAAAAUUGCAGUUGAAACUGGCAGUCUUGAGUACAGUAGAGGUGGGCGGAAUUCGUGGUGUAGCGGUGAAAUGCUUAGAUAUCACGAAGAACUCCGAUUGCGAAGGCAGUUCACUGGACUGCAACUGACACUGAGGCUCGAAAGUGUGGGUAUCAAACAGGAUUAGAUACCCUAGUAGUC
RNAcentral lists this ribosomal RNA (460 nucleotides) under uncultured bacterium. RNAcentral's name for it is "partial 16S ribosomal RNA". It matches the Rfam family "Bacterial small subunit ribosomal RNA", at positions 338 to 795 of the family's 1533-position model. The record is from RNAcentral.